AAUGAAUUUAGAAGAAUCACCACAAUUUCCUUGGAGCGUACAUUCUUGGAAAAGCUGGACUUCUACACUUCAAAACUCCUGGCUUUGUUUGAGAUGAAGGGUGGGGUUGCUGGCAUAAGAAUUAGACAUUUGCUGGAUUCACUCAGCCAGCAAGAAGAUAGGCUUGAAGAUCGGCGAGACGUUGUGAUUCGCUGCCUCCUGUCUUUCCUUGGAGAAUCAGCUGAGGAGCUCAUUGAAGACCACCAGGAUGUCAGCAGAGACAUGAUUAAGGAUACUUUCUCCAGUCAUGUCAUGAAAAUCAUCGUACUGAGCAGAUCUGUAGAAGAGGAAGAUGCCAGUAUAUCUAAUGUCAUCAUUGUCAUCGAGGGAACUGA
Clarias gariepinus (North African catfish) is the source of this 374-nucleotide long non-coding RNA. RefSeq lists it as uncharacterized. The record is from RefSeq and is a predicted model, not a curated record. The transcript is spliced from 3 exons. Lineage: Eukaryota; Metazoa; Chordata; Actinopteri; Siluriformes; Clariidae.